Python bivittatus (Burmese python) is the source of this 2430-nucleotide non-coding RNA. The record is from RefSeq and is a predicted model, not a curated record. Lineage: Eukaryota; Metazoa; Chordata; Lepidosauria; Squamata; Pythonidae.
CAAAAUUCAAGUGUUAAAUAUACAUUUUUCAAAAUUCAAGUGUUAAACUUUAAGACAAACACCAAUAUUAAUGUUAUGGUUCUAUAUUUGUAUAAGCUGAACAUUGGCAAUCUCCCACUGCAAACUAAGUCUAAAUGGCUGAAAUGCAAACAAGUUCACAUUUAUAAAUGUUAGCAGCAGUUAUUUGCAAGAAUGGACAAUUUAAAUUCCCAGCUACAAAACAAGUCAUCUUUCCAACAGGAAACCACCUAUACUCUAUCUGCUAAGGUCUCAGUUGCACAUUCAAAGAAAAACAGAGAAAUUUAUGGGAUCCCCCCCCCAAAAAAAAUCAGACUUUUCUUCAAAUAACAUUUGCACUCAAGCAGCAUACCUCCCCAUUAAAGAACUUGCAACGUAUGAAGAUAUUCUCAUUUCCAACAAAGGCAGCUUGUUCCAAUCUCUGUGGCUGAUCUUACAUUAGAGGCCCACCCCAGACCUCAUCAGAAACUUCUCCUAAGAGAGAACAGAAAACUGAUUGCUGCCUCGCCUGCACUGGAAUGGACAGGAAAAAAACCCUCCAGUAUUGCAGUAGGUUCUCUCACUUAUGCAAAAUAAAAAUUGAUAUUUUAGUACAAAAAUAUAUGAUAAAAUAGAGUAUGUAUAGAGCACAUAGUCUGGAAUUAAAUAUGCAUGUCUGAAUAUUUUUCAACUUUUUUUUGGUUUUACUUGCUAUUUUUCUUUUAGGGUAUAUUAAUACUGCAGUAAAGAACUAAAAAAAAUGCACAUGGAAAUGAACACUAUUAAAAUAUUUUAUCCAAGGAACAUGGAAACUUUGAAAUAGCCCUUCUCAUUGCAGAGGAAAGAAUACAUCACACAAUUAGAGAAAAACUCCUGAAGAUUUGAAUUCUGACUACUGCCAGAAUUUUGCUUGCAGAGGAAACUGAGAAAUUCCCUUUCCAUGGUCAGGUGUUGAAAUUAUGAUUUAGCUGAGGAUAUCAAACAUCAAGUUUGGGAAAAGAUUAAAUCACUGCCUUUUUGCUGCCAGUUAUAUAAAAUCAACUGAUAAAAAAAAUGUACUCAACUUGUCCAUGUAUGGUAUGUAGCUAAAUAUAACACAGAAGAAGAAACAUUUUCUCAUGUCCUGAAGGCCACUACGUAUUAAAUCUGUUGAUAACCUUGAAAGAUGUAUUGAAAUUUUUCAAAACAAAUGAGCAGAACUGGACAAAAUUAGUUGGACCCCAGAAAUGCUGGGUUCACAAUCAGGAUUUCUUGCAAAUAACAAAAAAGAAAAAGAAAAAAACAAAACAAAACAAAACAAAACAAAACUUUCAAACUCUGACUUUAGAAUGGACUGUGUCAUUUACUGCCAAGUGCUGGCUUCCAAACCCCAGUCCUCAGCCGUAAUACUAAGAACUGAAAAAUAGUGGGCUAUAAUAUAGAUUAUUUCCCUUCCUUUAUGAAAAUUGGGACCCAAGCACAAUGUUCUUCUGUUCCAUACUGAAGCCCAGUAGUUAUCAAAGAGAAAUUUGUUUGGACAAAUAUAUGAGUUGAAGAAAGUUAUCCGAGUUUUGGAGUAUCAUUAAAAAUCCAAGCGCUUUAAACUUUCAAAACAAUAAGUUGUCAUAAGUGGCAAUGUAUUUGAAGCUUUGAAUACUCUGUUUCUGAAGCUUCAAGGGACAAAUGCCACCAUCACUGUUCAUUAUAAUCUGACAUAACUGAAGGGCCUUCUCAGUGAUGGCUCCUGCCCUGUGGAACGAUAUCACCCCCUAGAUUCGUACUGCUCCCACCCUUUUGACUUUCUGCAAACCUCUAAAAAUCUGGUUGUUCUCACAGGUGUUGGGUUAGGAUGACGGCUGAGCCUUUUUGGUUCUGUCUUCUAGUCACUUAUCUUUUUUUUUCUUGAUAUACUUUGUUUUAAUUUUUUUAUCUGUAAGCUGCCCAGAGUUGCGAUAGAAUCGAGCAGCCUCAAAAUUGAAAUAAGUAAAUAAAUGUUUAUAGAUGAACUCAAGGUUCAUUUUCUUGACUUGCUGAAGCCCUCAAAGGCAAGAUUCUUGACCUCAAAUGGGAAAAAAGGAGCUUCAGCUAGUUUAUCUGAAUCUGUUUAUUCUAGAAGAAGAAAACAGGCUCUGAGUAUCAUCAUACUUGCAUCAAUAUUCAUUUGCAAAGCUUGUUUACUCUGCAUUUGUGAAUAUAAAAACAAAACAGCAUAAAAGGUUUGACAUUCAAAGUCUCAGUCUCCUGUGCUCUGCUCUUUCUUCCACACUGCUCAAAAUUCAAAUCUGCGGCAUGCAAACCUCCUCAAUGCUUACAAUGACAACUGAAACAAAUAAUGUCUGCUAUGACAAAAUCUGAAGAUUUUCCCCCUAAAUUUACAGAUGGUUUGAUUUGUUUUUAGUUAAGGUAUUUUAUUCACUUUGAAAUUUCAAGUACAAUUAUUGGGAGAAGCAAGUU